This 215-nucleotide unclassified non-coding RNA is filed under the name plant metagenome. Its description in RNAcentral is "partial contains small subunit ribosomal RNA, internal transcribed spacer 1, and 5.8S ribosomal RNA". The record is from RNAcentral.
UCUCCGUUGGUGAACCAGCGGAGGGAUCAUUACUGAGUUUACAACUCCCAACCCAUGUGAACAUACCUUUUGUUGCUUCGGCGGGAUGCCCCCGGCGCCUAGUGUGCCCGGGAAUCAGGCCCCCGCCGGAGGACCCAAACUCUUGUUUUUCUAUAGAACUUCUGAGUGGAUUAUUUUAAUAAUUAAAACUUUCAACAACGGAUCUCUUGGUUCUG